Molecule: ribosomal RNA, 481 nt
Filed under: uncultured bacterium
Lineage: Bacteria
Description: partial 16S ribosomal RNA
Rfam family: Bacterial small subunit ribosomal RNA
Source: RNAcentral
GAUGAACGCUGGCGGCGUGCUUAACACAUGCAAGUCGAACGAAGCACUUUAUUUGAUUUCCUUCGGGACUGAUUAUUUUGUGACUGAGUGGCGGACGGGUGAGUAACGCGUGGGUAACCUGCCUUGUACAGGGGGAUAACAGUUGGAAACGGCUGCUAAUACCGCAUAAUCGCACAGCAUCGCAUGCUGCAGUGUGAAAAGCUCCGGUGGUAUAAGAUGGACCCGCGUUGGAUUAGCUAGUUGGUGAGGUAACGGCCCACCAAGGCGACGAUCCAUAGCCGAGCUGGGAGGGUGACCGGCCACAUUGGGACUGAGACACGGCCCAAACUCCUACGGGAGGGAGGAGUGGGGAAUAUUGCACAAUGGGCGAAAGCCUGAUGCAGCGACGCCGCGUGAGCGAAGAAGUAUUUCGGUAUGUAAAGCUCUAUCAGCAGGGAAGAUAAUGACGGUACCUGACGAAGAAGCACCGGCUAAAUACGUG